RNAcentral lists this long non-coding RNA (203 nucleotides) under Setaria viridis. Its description in RNAcentral is "long non-coding RNA (SVIR_LNC003723)". Lineage: Eukaryota; Viridiplantae; Streptophyta; Magnoliopsida; Poales; Poaceae. The record is from RNAcentral.
UCUGAUGCCAUGGCAAACGUGAGGAGAUUCUUUGCACCUUCAUGAUGACAUCGCCGUUGUGCUGCCGAUCAAUGCCCGUUUCUGUUGCGCUUCUGAGCCUCUCCCACAUGUUUGGUGCUUCAUCUUCCAUUCACCUUGAAUGACCCUAUUCCAUUUUCUUCGAGGUUGCAAACCUUUGUUGUUUUAAGUUCUAAUUUUCAAGU